CGUACACCCCACCUGGAAGAAUAACUUCAACUUUAUUCAUUUCAUUCAUUCAACACAUUUUACGGAGACAGAAAGACGAAGCAAUGUGCGGGUCGUUGUUUAAGGCCAUCUGGGGACGGAAGAAUAGACUUAUCCUGUUCUGCAGUCCGUUAUUUCUCCUGCUCGUCGGAAUCACUUGACUUCGGAAACCCACAGCAAAGAGAUGAUGAUGCUGAGUGUGUGUUAUGCUGCUAGCAUCGGUGGAACUGCUACACUAACAGGCACUGGGCCCAAUCUGGUCCUCACAGGACAAAUGAACCAGUAGGUUCCAAAACAGUUGAGAUGAAUAAUGUCCUCUAAGCAACUUUAUAUCUAAAGGUCUCUCUCCUCAGACUCUUCCCAGACAACACAGAGGUUGUGAACUUUGGCUCCUGGUUUGGGUUCGCCUUUCUCUACAUGGUGAUUAUGCUGUUGGUAGUCUGGCUGUGGUUACAGAUUGUGUUCCUGGGCUGCAAGUAAGUGACAUUACUGACUGCCAUAAAUUUAUUUACUAGUGUGUGGUUUUUGGGGACGUGGUGGCUCAGCGGUCAAGCAGCUGGGUUACUGAUCAAAAGGUUGGGGUUCAAGCCUCUGAACUUACUGCCAAGCUAUUGAUGUUGGGUGCCUAAGCAAGGCCCUUAGCCCCACCUACUCCAGGGGACCACACUGACCCCAGCUUGAUGAUAAGCUCGGAUGUGUGAAAACCCAGCACAGUGGAAACUUGUGUUGAAGGCUCCGGGUUGAUGAUCAGAGGAUCAAGGUUCAAACACCAGCACUGACAAGCUGCCAUUAUUGGGCCCUUCAGCAAGGUCCUUAAUCCUUUAUUUUCCAAGGGCACUGUAUCAUGGCUGACCCUGUGCUCUGGCACAGUGAGGAUGGAGAGAGAGAACGCUGCGUAUAAUAAGAUCCGAGAGGAUGUCCUUCGGACAAAUAAGCCUAUCAACACUGUUGUGCCUGCUAGUGGUUCUAUUGGUCAGUCGCAACCCAGGUUGGGCAGCAAAACUUUUCAACAAUGAUAAAAAGUAAGGAUCAAGUUUGACCAACAUACAUGACUAAUUCUGAUCAUCUUUUUGCUUACAAAUCUCUAGACCAUUUGAGUAUACAUACUGCAUGUAAUAAUUCUUCAAAGGCACAAAUAAAAGACCAGUAACACGUACAGCACUUUUUCAAUCAGUAUAAACAUACAAAUGAGUCAGGAGUAAAAUGUUUUUUUUCCCUUCAGUUGAAAACCUUCAAAAUUUUAGCGGCUUAUGAACAAACACUUGGUGCUUUCUCAGAGAGCAAAAAUUGGUUUGAUAUCAACAUUUAUCUGAUAUAUUCAACUAUUUCUUUUAUCUUUACAAUGUUUGGACUCUGCAGGAAGCUCGUUGUGCCUUUGUUAUCGGGCUGAUGGCAGUGUAUUGGUGUACCGAGGUGCUGCCUUUGGCCAUCACUGCUCUGUUACCGGUUGUGCUUUUUCCUCUGUUUGGUAUCAUGACCUCUAAGGAUGUACGUUUUGUCACAUUUAUAUACACACUUUAAUUUUCCAUUUUUAAAAAAAGAUAAAAGCCUACUUAACUAUACAAACUAAAUGGUUUGGGUUCGCCUUUCUCUACAUGGUGAUUAUGCUGUUGGAAGCCUGGCUGUGGUUACAGAUUGUGUUCCUGGGCUGCAAAAAAACGUGGGGCAGCGGAACAGUGAGGACUGAGAGAGAGAACGCUGCGUUUAAAAAGAUCCGCUAGGAGCUUCGAAGACUUGGGCCCAUGUCCUUCGGACAAAUACACCUAUUAACACUCUUGGUCCUGCUGGUGGUUCUAUGGUUCAGGUUAUGUGGACGGCUGGGCAACACACCUUUUCAACAGUGAUUAAAAUUAAGGAUCUUUUGUGACCAACAUACAUGACUAAUUCUGGUCAUCUUUUUGAUGAAAAAUAUUCCCCCCUCCUGGUCCUCUGCCGUGUGCCUCGCUCCCCCCCCCCCCUCCUGGUCCUCUGCAGUGUGCCUCGCUCCCCCCCUUCUGGUCCUCUGCAGUGUGCCUCGCUCCCCCCCUCCUGGUCCUCUGCAGUGUGCCUCGCUCAGCCCCCCUCCUGGUCCUCUGCAGUGUGCCUCGCUCCCCCCCUCCUGGUCCUCUGCCGUGUGCCUCGCUCCCCCCCUCCUGGUCCUCCGCAGUGUGCCUCGCUCCCCCCCCUCCUGGUCCUCCGCCUUGUGCC
This is a long non-coding RNA of Tachysurus fulvidraco (yellow catfish), 2205 nucleotides long. RefSeq lists it as uncharacterized. Lineage: Eukaryota; Metazoa; Chordata; Actinopteri; Siluriformes; Bagridae. The record is from RefSeq and is a predicted model, not a curated record. The transcript is spliced from 3 exons.